GGGUCGUAGUCAAAAUGAGCCUUUACGUGGAUCUAAACAAUAAAAAGAGUAAAAGGACAAUAAUGAAAUGGCAACACAAUGUUUAGCAUAAAUACAGUCCUGUUGAUUGCAAACGUGCAAGAGAAUGCAAAACACUGCACAGUUACUGCUAACAAGCUGAGAUGCCAACAGGCCUUGAAAGUUUAACAGAAGCAGAAGGAAUGAAACAGAGAGUCCCCCCCUCUCCACCCCUGACUUGUGAAAACAAUGACUGCAGUAAGGUAUGUAAUUUCUAAACCACUGUUACCAGGAAAGGUAAACUGUAAACCUCUCCACAUCUGUCAUCUAAGCAGGUGAGUGUCAGCUUCCCUGGUGCCAUCAUCUCUUCUUGACCACACUAUCAGUGUGACUGUGCCUUAAUCGCUCAGAGUCUAUCCUAAAGGACUAUGUCUAGGCCCCAAACUGCUAAAAUUACCUAAAUCAAGUUUAUAACCAAUUCCUAUCAUGUUCUGUAUGUAGGCAUUGAAAUAUUAUUAGUGCUACAAGCUAAAAUUUUUGCUAACUGUGCUUUGCAUAUCUAAAACCUGCUAUGCUCUCAGAACUAAAAAUAGGUAAGAAUUCACAUGAAUCUUAUUAAAAGCUCAAUUAUUUCCUACAGUAUUUUCUCCAAUAUACUUCUGUAAGUUAUAACAAAGUAUUCUUACUCCUUAAAAGGUAUAAAGGAAUCAAUAUUCUCCUUAAUUCUUCUAUCUGAAAUUUUUAUCCAACCUGGUCAAGUGGCAUGUGGCAUUUCCAAAAUCUGCAGAUUAUAUGAAAUCUGAUAAAAUUGAAUUUUAGUGUUAUAUAGGGUAGUAGUAAGUCAAAACACAGCUGAGAGACUGGGUAAAAAGAUUAUACAUACAAUUUUACAAUCUUGGCAUGAGAAGGAUAUACUAUAUAGGAUAAAAUAAAAUCUCUGCUUGUACUAUUCCUAUUAAUAAUGCUUCCAUAUAUGUUUAAAUUGUUGCUUUUUAGCUAAACAAUCUUAGAAAUCUAAAUAUGAAACUAUAGGCAUCAUUUAUUGUGGUGGAGAGUUCAUUUUAUUAUCAAGCUUUUCAGAGAUCUAUGAAAUCAGACUUCUUGUCAGCUUGAUGGAUGAUUUUAUCAAAUCACUUUCUGAAAUCAAUACCCAGCAAGCUGUUUUCAAAGUGUUUUGCUCAGAACACUUACUAGGAUGUUUAUUAAAAUACUGACUUCUUAUACCACAUCUCAAACUUUCAGAUUCUGUAUUUUAAUUCAUUUAGGUUCAUUUAGGUUCCUUGGAUAAUUGCUACAUACAUGUCAUUUAAGAUGUACCCUAAAAUCUUAGGGAAUUACUAUCCUGAGGGAAACUAAAUAGGCCAGUGAAGAUGCUAUAUCUAAGUCUAUGAUCUUUGCCAGAGGCAGACAAAAUCACCCAGAGAUGUUUUUCUCUCUACUCUUGCUUAGGUCUCACCCCUUGACCAUUCGGAAUUUUUUUGGUUUGGAAUGAGGCCCCUCGUUGUGUUGACUGGAAGAGGAGAAGAGAGGACAUGCUUUGUUUAUGUGACAAGUUUAUUUAGUGCUGUUUAAAAUGUACUCUAAAACUGAGAGCAAAGUUUAUUUCACAUCAGAGAAAUUAACCAACUGACUGAGUUAAAGUCUGAGUACUGCCUUAACACAUACUAUGUGACUUUUUUGUGACUUCUAUCUAUAUAUAGGCAUGUUUUUAUUGUUUCACUUUAUUGCAUUUUUCAGAUAUAUACAUAUAUUUAUACGUAAAUUGAAGGUCUGUGGCAACCUUGUGUUGUCAGAUGAAGGUUAGCAUUUUUAAGCAAUAAAGUAUUUUUAAAUGAG
Molecule: long non-coding RNA, 1833 nt
Organism: Capra hircus (goat)
Lineage: Eukaryota; Metazoa; Chordata; Mammalia; Artiodactyla; Bovidae
Exons: 2
Source: RefSeq, a predicted model, not a curated record